GAUGAACGCUGGCGGCGUGCCUAAUACAUGCAAGUCGAGCGAACAGACGAGGAGCUUGCUCCUCUGACGUUAGCGGCGGACGGGUGAGUAACACGUGGAUAACCUACCUAUAAGACUGGGAUAACUUCGGGAAACCGGAGCUAAUACCGGAUAAUAUAUUGAACCGCAUGGUUCAAUAGUGAAAGACGGUUUUGCUGUCACUUAUAGAUGGAUCCGCGCCGCAUUAGCUAGUUGGUAAGGUAACGGCUUACCAAGGCAACGAUGCGUAGCCGACCUGAGAGGGUGAUCGGCCACACUGGAACGGAGACACGGUCCAGGCUCCUACGGUAGGCAGCAGUAGGGAAUCUUCCGCAAUGGGCGAAAGCCUGACGGAGCAACGCCGCGUGAGUGAUGAAGGUCUUCGGAUCGUAAAACUCUGUUAUUAGGGAAGAACAAAUGUGUAAGUAACUAUGCACGUCUUGACGGUACCUAAUCAGAAAGCCACGGCUAACUACGUG
RNAcentral lists this ribosomal RNA (497 nucleotides) under uncultured bacterium. RNAcentral's name for it is "partial 16S ribosomal RNA". It matches the Rfam family "Bacterial small subunit ribosomal RNA", at positions 28 to 507 of the family's 1533-position model. The record is from RNAcentral.